Long non-coding RNA from Oreochromis aureus, 1249 nucleotides. The record is from Ensembl. NCBI's taxonomy places the organism in Eukaryota, Metazoa, Chordata, Actinopteri, Cichliformes, Cichlidae.
GCCGCCGUGUCAGGUGAACUGAACUUCAGAUUAUUAGAACAGCCAGUGAUGAGAGGACGAUGAUGAUGAUGAUGAUGAUGAUGACAGCCACAGUCAGACCCACAGGCAGCGAAACACCUGCAGCAGAUUCAGAAGACGUGUUUUCUCAGGCUGCUCCGUGGUUACACUCGAGGUGAGUGAAGGUGAGAAGGCUGAUUGGACGACUGCUGAAACAGGUCAGAGAGUGAAGUUUAGAUGUGGUUCUUAUUUAAAAGCAGAGAUCUGAGAAAAAGCAGCCCGCUCACACACUCAGAGUCACACAUCACUGUGUGUCACACGACUGCUGCAGUGUCACUGUGAGUAAGGAUGUUUGUAACAUCACAUCUUUGACAUCACAGUAGGCAGGUAUCAUUGUUCAGCAUGCUGGGUGUAUUUUAACUGACAUAAUAUUCUUUCUGAAUAUAGCCAAACAUUAAUAUGUGUCCAAACCAGUGCAUGAAACCAAGACACAAACACAAAAUCCCUCAGAGUGGACACAGACUGCUGUCUUCAAACGUUGUGACCUUUCCCACCACCUGAUGUUGUAGCACUUUAACAAAAGGACAGCUCAGUCCUCCUGCAGCCAGUUUGGAAAUGACCGAGUUAAAGAACACCUCUUUCUUAAAGGUGAGACACCAGCAGCGUCUGAUAGAUCAGCAGUAUCUGACAUCUGGGAUAAAAGUGUAAAGAAAGAUUCUGAAAUUCAGAUUUUAUAAUAGCAUCAAGUUUUGAUAGUGCUCCAGAAAAACUGUCAAAUUAGAUUUUAGUUGCAGAAAAAGUGCAAAUCAUUAUCUACAGUGUGGCUGUUAGAUAAUAUGUCUGGUUAUCUGAAACACCAGCAGCUAUCAAUGACUAAAUUAGCAACAUUAAAAACAUUUUCAGGGAAAACUCACCAUCUGUGACGUUGAUCUCAAAGAGUCUGAAUGAAGCUUGACCAGAAGAUGGAUUCAGAGAACAUCUGUACUGUCCUGAGUCAGACUCAGUCAGCUGUGUGAUUGUCACAUACACAAUUCCUCCUCCUCCAUAUGUCUCCUCUGAAGUUCCUCUAAAUCCAAUUCUGUAUCUGUCUUUGGAAGCAUCUUCAUCAUCUGUUUGAAGAAGAACCUCGUCCUCUCCACAUUCUCCCCUGCAGAAGAACUUUUGUCCUCCAGACGGAUUAAAGGAACAUCCGACUGUGAGAGAGCUUCCAGUUUCUUUAUUGAAGUGUUUCAGCUGAGCAGGAUCGUUUCCA